CCCAUAAAACUAUUCUCAGUUCGGAUUGUAGGCUGCAACUCGCCUACAUGAAGCCGGAAUCGCUAGUAAUCGUGGAUCAGCAUGCCACGGUGAAUACGUUCCCGGGCCUUGUACACACCGCCCGUCACACCACGAGAGUUUGUAACACCCGAAGUCGGUAGGGUAACCUUUAUGGAGCCAGCCGCCGAAGGUGGGACAGAUAAUUGGGGUGAAGUCGUAACAAGGUAGCCGUAUCGGAAGGUGCGGCUGGAUCACCUCCUUUCUAAGGAA
RNAcentral lists this ribosomal RNA (270 nucleotides) under Listeria monocytogenes. RNAcentral describes it as "partial 16S ribosomal RNA". It matches the Rfam family "Bacterial small subunit ribosomal RNA", at positions 1273 to 1533 of the family's 1533-position model. The record is from RNAcentral. Lineage: Bacteria; Bacillati; Bacillota; Bacilli; Caryophanales; Listeriaceae. RNAcentral also lists the same sequence under 2 other names.